UAUAGAUACUUCUGCACUUGCAUCAAGUUCAACGAACGCUUCAAUUCAUAUUGUAAACAAAAUUUAUAAAUAAAAUGCGGAGUCUGAGGUGACACCAAAAAAAAAAAACUAAUCUUGUCUUUCAAUUUCAUAAAAGAUCGUAAACGAUCACCAGCGCAUAAACAGAGUAAAAUCAAUAGCCUCCCUUCAAAUCGUUAACCACAUCAUAUGGUAUGGGGGUAACUGUCUCCAACGUAGCGCCCUCAACCAUGAAUCCUGGUUUGGGUCCUGCGGGUUGUCUUUUUGUGCUGACAAUCUCUCCUCUAGCCUUGGCCUCAGCCUUAAUCUGGUCAUUCUUCUUGAUCCUUUCUCUGACUUCUUCGGUGCAUCGAGAAGCUUGAACAUGUUCAAUCCUAACGUGGAUCCUCUUCCUUAGGAUACGAUCACGAACCUGCUUGUUAACUUCGACACCGACGGCGCGUUUGGUGACGUUCCAGACACGUCCGGUACGGCCAUGAUAGAAUUUGUGCGGCAUUCCCUUGUGAAUUGCACCGUUCACUUUGAUAUCAACAUAAUCACCGAUUUUGAAGAUUCUCAGGUAGGUUGAAAGGUGAAUUGUACCUUUCUUUCUAAAUGCACGAGAGAAUGAAUCUCUCGUACGAGACCUCAAUCCAUGGCCGGCCGGCAUUUUCCUCCGCCUUUCUCCGGUGAGUGCAGUGUGUGACUGUGUAUGCGGGAAGGAAGC
RNAcentral lists this unclassified non-coding RNA (724 nucleotides) under Hevea brasiliensis (rubber tree). Lineage: Eukaryota; Viridiplantae; Streptophyta; Magnoliopsida; Malpighiales; Euphorbiaceae. The record is from RNAcentral.